GAUGAACGCUGGCGGCGUGCUUAACACAUGCAAGUCGAACGAAGCACUUUCUUGCUUGCAAGAAAGUGACUGAGUGGCGGACGGGUGAGUAACGCGUGGGCAACCUACCUCAUACAAGGGGAUAACAGUUAGAAAUGACUGCUAAUACCGUAUAAGCACACGGCUUCACAUGAAGCAGUGUGAAAAACUCCGGUGGUAUGAGAUGGGCCCGCGUCUGAUUAGCUAGUUGGUGAGGUAAUGGCUCACCAAGGCGACGAUCAGUAGCCGACCUGAGAGGGUGAUCGGCCACAUUGGGACUGAGACACGGCCCAAACUCCUACGGGAGGCAGCAGUGGGGAAUAUUGCACAAUGGGGGAAACCCUGAUGCAGCGACGCCGCGUGAAGGAAGACGUAUUUCGGUAUGUAAACUUCUAUCAGCAGGGAAGAAAAUGACGGUACCUGACUAAGAAGCCCCGGCUAACUACGUGCCAGCAGCCGCGGUAAUACGUAGGGGGCAAGCGUUAUCCGGAUUUACUGGGUGUAAAGGGAGCGUAAACGGUUGUGUAAGUCAUAUGUGAAAGGCCAGGGCUCAACCCUGGGACUGCAUUUGAAACUGCUCAACUAGAGUGUUGGAGAGGUAAGUGGAAUUCCUAGUGUAGCGGUGAAAUGCGUAGA
Molecule: ribosomal RNA, 654 nt
Filed under: uncultured bacterium
Lineage: Bacteria
Description: bacterial SSU rRNA
Rfam family: Bacterial small subunit ribosomal RNA
Source: RNAcentral